Arabidopsis thaliana (thale cress) is the source of this 244-nucleotide long non-coding RNA. RefSeq annotates it as other RNA. The record is from RefSeq. NCBI's taxonomy places the organism in Eukaryota, Viridiplantae, Streptophyta, Magnoliopsida, Brassicales, Brassicaceae. The transcript has a single exon.
AUAGUAGGAGCCAAACAGUGGGAUCACUGGAUUAGUCAGUAAGAUUUCCAGCAAGUUUCUUUAUUAGCACUGUUUUGUAGUUUUAUUUAGUAGUCGUAUGUAUUUAUUAACUGCUAUAUGAAUGGUGUUGUCUCAAGAUGGAGUACGACUCUUGUGGUGAAAAAUAAUUGGGAAAGUGAUUUCGUCGCCUCGGUUAAAGGAGGGUCAGGUAGAAAAACUAUCUUUGUCUCUUUUCAAACUCUUU